Transfer RNA from Cavia porcellus (domestic guinea pig), 64 nucleotides. It matches the Rfam family "tRNA". Rfam says of the family: Transfer RNA (tRNA) molecules are approximately 80 nucleotides in length. Lineage: Eukaryota; Metazoa; Chordata; Mammalia; Rodentia; Caviidae. The record is from Rfam.
GGGGAUUUAGCUCAGAGGCAUAAGCGCCUGCCUUGCAAGCAGGCAGUUGUGAGUUCAAUCCCUG